UACGGAGGGGACUAGCGUUGUUCGGAAUUACUGGGCGUAAAGCGCACGUAGGCGGAUUUGUAAGUCAGGGGUGAAAUCCCAGGGCUCAACCUUGGAACUGCCUUUGAUACUGCAAGUCUUGAGUCCGGGAGAGGUGAGUGGAAUUCCGAGUGUAGAGGUGAAAUUCGUAGAUAUUAGGAAGAACACCAGUGGCGAAGGCGGCUCACUGGCCCGGUACUGACGCUGAGGUGCGAAAGCGUGGGGAGCAAACAGG
This 253-nucleotide ribosomal RNA is filed under the name uncultured bacterium. Its description in RNAcentral is "partial 16S ribosomal RNA". It matches the Rfam family "Bacterial small subunit ribosomal RNA", at positions 524 to 776 of the family's 1533-position model. The record is from RNAcentral.